GUCGAGCGGCAGCGCGGGGGCAACCCUGGCGGCGAGCGGCGAACGGGUGAGUAAUACAUCGGAACGUACCCAGACGUGGGGGAUAACACAUCGAAAGAUGUGCUAAUACCGCAUACGACCUGAGGGUGAAAGGGGGGGAUCGCAAGACCUCUCGCGUUUGGAGCGGCCGAUGUCGGAUUAGCUAGUUGGUGAGGUAAAGGCUCACCAAGGCGACGAUCCGUAGCUGGUCUGAGAGGAUGAUCAGCCACACUGGGACUGAGACACGGCCCAGACUCCUACGGGAGGCAGCAGUGGGGAAUUUUGGACAAUGGGGGCAACCCUGAUCCAGCCAUUCCGCGUGAGUGAAGAAGGCCUUCGGGUUGUAAAGCUCUUUCGGCAGGAACGAAACGGCGGGCUCUAACAUAGCCUGUCAAUGACGGUACCUGAAGAAGAAGCACCGGCUAACUACGUGCCAGCAGCCGCGGUAAUACGUAGGGUGCGAGCGUUAAUCGGAAUUACUGGGCGUAAAGCGUGCGCAGGCGGUUCUAUAAGACAGAUGUGAAAUCCCCGGGCUUAACCUGGGAACUGCGUUUGUGACUGUAGGACUCGAGUGUGGCAGAGGGGGGUGGAAUUCCACGUGUAGCAGUGAAAUGCGUAGAGAUGUGGAGGAACACCGAUGGCGAAGGCAGCCCCCUGGGUUAACACUGACGCUCAUGCACGAAAGCGUGGGGAGCAAACAGGAUUAGAUACCCCUGGUAGU
This 739-nucleotide ribosomal RNA is filed under the name uncultured bacterium. Its description in RNAcentral is "bacterial SSU rRNA". It matches the Rfam family "Bacterial small subunit ribosomal RNA", at positions 61 to 794 of the family's 1533-position model. The record is from RNAcentral.